This 494-nucleotide ribosomal RNA is filed under the name uncultured bacterium. RNAcentral describes it as "partial 16S ribosomal RNA". It matches the Rfam family "Bacterial small subunit ribosomal RNA", at positions 28 to 507 of the family's 1533-position model. The record is from RNAcentral.
GACGAACGCUGGCGGCGCGCUUAACACAUGCAAGUCGAACGGAUAGGCCUGCUUUCCCUUGUGGAUUGCGGGUACUCGAGUGGCGAACGGGUGAGUAACACGUGAGUGAUCUGCCCCCAACUUGGGUAUAAGCCUGGGAAACUGGGUCUAAUUCCCGAUAGGACUGCAGGGUGGUGCCUGUGGUGGAAAACGAUUUUCUAGUGGUUGGGGAUGAGCUCGCGGCCUAUCAGCUUGUUGGUGGGGUAAUGGCCUACCAAGGCGGCGACGGGUAGCCGGCCUGGGAGGGUGGACGGCCACAGUGGGACUGAGAUACGGCCCAGACUCCUACGGGAGGCAGCAGUGGGGAAUAUUGCACAAUGGGCGGAAGCCUGAUGCAGCGACGCCGCGUGGGGGAUGACGGCCUUCGGGUUGUAAACUCCUUUCGACCGCGAGGAAGCCACCUGGUUGGAAGGGUGGUGACGGUAGUGGUAGAAGAAGCACCGGCUAACUACGUG